AUGGUUGAGUCCACCGAACCAUCUCCAAGGAAUUAUGCUGAUUCUCCUAUUCGCCAUCGACCAGAUCAUCCCCUGUUAGGCAUGGUGACAGAAGACCAGGAUCUCCAGUUAGAAGACAUUCUCUCCUUCACCACCUACAAGGCAUACAUAGCCAAUACGGUGGAACUUAUCUUGCUUUUAUUAGCAGGUCAAGGAGACAGAGGAUCCCUUCGAGAAGGUCACCACUCACCACCACCACCACCUCCACGCCGCCAUAUUCGUUCCCCUCACUUUUCACUCUCACUCCAGAUCAAUUCUCCAUAUAGAAUCAGAGGACCUCCUCCAUAG
RNAcentral lists this ribosomal RNA (327 nucleotides) under Triticum aestivum (bread wheat). RNAcentral's name for it is "partial small subunit ribosomal RNA". The record is from RNAcentral. Lineage: Eukaryota; Viridiplantae; Streptophyta; Magnoliopsida; Poales; Poaceae.